AGGUCAUUUCAAAGAAGCCUCAUGUGGCUGUGAGACCAUGAACUCUUAAUGCUGUGGUCAAAGACUGCCAGAAGAUAUGACAGUACUCACUGGUGCUAUGUUUCUCUGAGGAGAUACUAAU
Small nucleolar RNA from Aotus nancymaae (Ma's night monkey), 121 nucleotides. The record is from Ensembl. Lineage: Eukaryota; Metazoa; Chordata; Mammalia; Primates; Aotidae.